This 899-nucleotide ribosomal RNA is filed under the name Ganoderma resinaceum. Its description in RNAcentral is "partial large subunit ribosomal RNA". It matches the Rfam family "Eukaryotic large subunit ribosomal RNA", at positions 39 to 925 of the family's 3401-position model. The record is from RNAcentral. Lineage: Eukaryota; Fungi; Basidiomycota; Agaricomycetes; Polyporales; Polyporaceae.
CAUAUCAAUAAGCGGAGGAAAAGAAACUAACAAGGAUUCCCCUAGUAACUGCGAGUGAAGCGGGAAAAGCUCAAAUUUAAAAUCUGGCGGUCUUUGGCCGUCCGAGUUGUAGUCUGGAGAAGUGCUUUCCGCGCUGGACCGUGUAUAAGUCUCUUGGAACAGAGCGUCAUAGAGGGUGAGAAUCCCGUCUUUGACACGGACUACCAGUGCUUUGUGAUGCGCUCUCAAAGAGUCGAGUUGUUUGGGAAUGCAGCUCAAAAUGGGUGGUGAAUUCCAUCUAAAGCUAAAUAUUGGCGAGAGACCGAUAGCGAACAAGUACCGUGAGGGAAAGAUGAAAAGCACUUUGGAAAGAGAGUUAAACAGUACGUGAAAUUGCUGAAAGGGAAACGCUUGAAGUCAGUCGCGUUGUCCGGAACUCAGCCUUGCUUUCGCUUGGUGCACUUUCCGGAUGACGGGUCAGCAUCGAUUUUGACCGUCGGAAAAGGGCUGGAGUAAUGUGGCACCUCCGGGUGUGUUAUAGACUCUGGUCGCAUACGACGGUUGGGAUCGAGGAACGCAGCGCGCCGCAAGGCAGGGGUUCGCCCACUUUCGCGCUUAGGAUGCUGGCAUAAUGGCUUUAAACGACCCGUCUUGAAACACGGACCAAGGAGUCUAACAUACCUGCGAGUGUUUGGGUGGAAAACCCGAGCGCGUAAUGAAAGUGAAAGUUGAGAUCCCUGUCGUGGGGAGCAUCGACGCCCGGACCUGACGUUCUCUGACGGAUCCGCGGUAGAGCAUGUAUGUUGGGACCCGAAAGAUGGUGAACUAUGCCUGAAUAGGGUGAAGCCAGAGGAAACUCUGGUGGAGGCUCGUAGCGAUUCUGACGUGCAAAUCGAUCGUCAAAUUUGGGUAUAGGGGCG